GUGCCAGCAGCCGCGGUAAUACGUAGGGUGCAAGCGUUAAUCGGAAUUACUGGGCGUAAAGCGUGCGCAGGCGGCUUUGCAAGACAGAUGUGAAAUCCCCGGGCUCAACCUGGGAACUGCAUUUGUGACUGCAAGGCUGGAGUGCGGCAGAGGGGGAUGGAAUUCCGCGUGUAGCAGUGAAAUGCGUAGAUAUGCGGAGGAACACCCAAUGGCGAAGGCAAUCCCCUGGGCCUGCACUGACGCUCAUGCACGAAAGCGUGGGGAGCAAACAGGAUUAGAUACCCUGGUAGUCC
This 293-nucleotide ribosomal RNA is filed under the name uncultured microorganism. RNAcentral's name for it is "partial 16S ribosomal RNA". It matches the Rfam family "Bacterial small subunit ribosomal RNA", at positions 505 to 796 of the family's 1533-position model. The record is from RNAcentral.